GCACCUGCGGUAAUUCCAGCUCCAAUAGCGUAUAUUAAAGUUGUUGCAGUUAAAAAGCUCGUAGUUGAACUUCUGUACAGUCUCACUUCUGGCUUCGGUCAAGGUGUUGGCUGUGCAUCCGCUUGCAAAGCUGGUUCGGCCUUAACUGGUCGGCUAGUAGAGUAAGCCCUUUACUUUGAAAAAAUUAGAGUGUUUCAGGCAGGCAAUGGCUCGAAUACAUUAGCAUGGAAUAAUGGAAUAGGACUUUUGUCCAUUUGGUUGGUUCUUGGACUUAAGUAAUGAUUAAAAGGGACAGUUGGGGGCAUUGGUAUUUAACAGUCAGAGGUGAAAUUCUUGGAUUUGUUAAAGACUAACUUAUGCGAAAGCAUUUGCCAAGGAUGUCUUCAUUAAUCAAGAACGAAAGU
This 404-nucleotide ribosomal RNA is filed under the name uncultured eukaryote. RNAcentral describes it as "SSU rRNA". It matches the Rfam family "Eukaryotic small subunit ribosomal RNA", at positions 570 to 990 of the family's 1831-position model. The record is from RNAcentral.